ACACAGUCUUUGAACUGACAUUUCACAGUAUAGGCUGAGCAUAACUGUGCUGAGUGUACUUUGAACAAGGUUCCAGCUGCCUGGACAUCUAACUGAGAGGCCUCCAAGGUCAGUUUUGAGCUCCACUCCAACAAAAUGUCUGUGGAGUUUCCUCAAAGGGAUUGGGGAAUACUUAGUUUCUCUGAGUAACAAAGGGCAGAUAAAGGAAUCUCCAGGCCCAGAAGUGCUGUGAGUGUUUCUGUGAGUCAAGAGACAAAGUCUUUAUACUAAGGCCCUAGGCAGGGGCAACAGACUUACAUGCCAGCUAAGCUGACAUUAGCCAAAGACAUUGCCUCUGCACAAAUAUCCUCAGGGCAACAGAAACUGAGCCAACGCUCUUCUGAGCCUUGAAAAGGAGAAAGGAAAUGAGCUGCUGAUGCCAUUCAGAUAUGUCUCACAGCGGUUGCACUAUGCCUUGAAUUUACCUCAAAUUAAGUUUCUGCUGAAUUCAGAACUGGGAAUGUUGGCCAGGAUAUGCAGCAUGAUGAUCUUAGCAAUGAGGAGGACAACUAUUAAUAAUGGUGAGAUGCUACCCAGUUUUUCCUCCAAGGGAGUAAAAAAAAAAAA
Molecule: long non-coding RNA, 606 nt
Organism: Sapajus apella (tufted capuchin)
Lineage: Eukaryota; Metazoa; Chordata; Mammalia; Primates; Cebidae
Exons: 2
Source: RefSeq, a predicted model, not a curated record